UGAGGAAUAUUGGACAAUGGGCGCAAGCCUGAUCCAGCCAUGCCGCGUGCAGGAUGACGGCCCUAUGGGUUGUAAACUGCUUUUGUACAGGAAGAAACACUCCCUCGUGAGGGAGCUUGACGGUACUGUAAGAAUAAGGAUCGGCUAACUCCGUG
This 155-nucleotide ribosomal RNA is filed under the name uncultured bacterium. Its description in RNAcentral is "partial 16S ribosomal RNA". It matches the Rfam family "Bacterial small subunit ribosomal RNA", at positions 355 to 507 of the family's 1533-position model. The record is from RNAcentral.